UCAAUCGUUCCCACGAAGCAGCAGGAGCAGAGAGCAGCCAAUUGCGGUUGGUUCUAUAUCGGAGGCAUUGCUGUGUCUGGCAGCAGAAAUCAAAGACAGUGGAUGGGGUGGACAUCCCAGUCCACAUCAUUGGGGAUGCAGCCUACCCUUUACGCCACUGGCUAAUGAAAGAAUACACCCAGCAUUUGCAGCUGUCUUCCAUCCAAGUGGCAUAUACCCACACUCUUUCGGCACGGAUGGUGGUGGAGAAUGCCUUUGGCCGCCUGAAAGGACGUUGGCGCUGCCUCAUGAAGAGGAAUGAUGUUGACCUCAAAUUUAUGCCCCAUGUAGUAGCGGCCUGCUGUGUCCUUCACAACAUAUGUGAACUGCAGAAGGAACAGUUUCCAGAGGAGUGGACUGUGACGGACCCUGAAGUGACACCCUCUAGUGUAGAUCUGGAGGUGUCUGGGGGUCAACAUUCCUUUAGUGCCAAACUCAUUAGGGAAACCAUUUGUACCAACCUUAACGAGAUGUUAAAAUAAUUCAUAAUGUUUACAAUUUUACAUGAACAAAAAGUUUGCACUGUU
Molecule: long non-coding RNA, 566 nt
Organism: Pseudophryne corroboree (corroboree frog)
Lineage: Eukaryota; Metazoa; Chordata; Amphibia; Anura; Myobatrachidae
Exons: 2
Source: RefSeq, a predicted model, not a curated record